Molecule: unclassified non-coding RNA, 263 nt
Filed under: plant metagenome
Description: partial contains small subunit ribosomal RNA, internal transcribed spacer 1, and 5.8S ribosomal RNA
Source: RNAcentral
UUUCCGUAGGUGAACCUGCGGAAGGAUCAUUAUUGUAUAAUCGAGGUGCGAGGGCUGUCGCUGACCCGAAAGGUCGUGCACGCCCGAGUGCCCUCACACACAUCCAUCUCACCCCUAUGUGCACCACCGCGUGGGUCCCCCUUUGGCUUGUUCGGAGGGGGGCUUACGUUUUCACACAAACUUUGUAUGCAGAGUAGAAUGUAUUUUUUGUUUUUGCGAUCACGCAAUCAAUACAACUUUCAACAACGGAUCUCUUGGCUCUC